UACGUAGGGGGCAAGCGUUGUCCGGAAUGAUUGGGCGUAAAGGGCGCGUAGGCGGCCUGUUAAGUCUGGAGUGAAAGUCCUGCUUUCAAGGUGGGAAUUGCUUUGGAAACUGGCGGGCUGGAGUGCAGGAGAGGUUAGCGGAAUUCCCGGUGUAGCGGUGAAAUGCGUAGAGAUCGGGAGGAACACCAGUGGCGAAGGCGGCUAACUGGACUGUAACUGACGCUGAAGCGCGAAAGUGUGGGGAGCAAACAGG
RNAcentral lists this ribosomal RNA (253 nucleotides) under uncultured bacterium. RNAcentral describes it as "partial 16S ribosomal RNA". It matches the Rfam family "Bacterial small subunit ribosomal RNA", at positions 524 to 776 of the family's 1533-position model. The record is from RNAcentral.